RNAcentral lists this transfer RNA (75 nucleotides) under Lapidilactobacillus concavus. RNAcentral's name for it is "tRNA-Thr". It matches the Rfam family "tRNA". Rfam says of the family: Transfer RNA (tRNA) molecules are approximately 80 nucleotides in length. The record is from RNAcentral. Lineage: Bacteria; Bacillati; Bacillota; Bacilli; Lactobacillales; Lactobacillaceae.
UGCCGACUUAGCUCAGUUGGUAGAGCAUCUGAUUUGUAAUCAGAGGGUCGGGCGUUCAAAUCGUCUAGUCGGCAU